RNAcentral lists this ribosomal RNA (359 nucleotides) under Ribes environmental sample. Its description in RNAcentral is "eukaryotic LSU rRNA". The stretch from base 1 to 84 matches the Rfam family "5.8S ribosomal RNA", at positions 73 to 154 of the family's 154-position model. Lineage: Eukaryota; Viridiplantae; Streptophyta; Magnoliopsida; Saxifragales. The record is from RNAcentral.
UGCAGAAUCCCGUGAACCAUCGAGUCUUUGAACGCAAGUUGCGCCUGAAGCCAUUCGGCCGAAGGCACGUCUGCCUGGGCGUCACGUACCCAAUCGCUCCCCAAAACCUCCCACAUUUUUACGGAUUUGUGGAUGGCUCGGAGGGCGGAGAUUGGCCUCCCGUGCUGUAACGGCGCGGAUGGCCUAAAAGCAAAGCAUCGAGCGACGAAACGUCACGACAAGUGGUGGUUGAUAAAGCCCUAGCGGCAGCCUCAUCGUGUCGUGUGCGUCCAGUCGCGUUCGAUAGCCCAACGACCCCUACACGUCUCGACGAAUUCUGUCGCGACCCCAGGUCAGGCGGGACUACCCGCUGAGUUUAA